UAUGCAAGGAAAAAUUUAAGUGCAAUAA
This 28-nucleotide small RNA is filed under the name Bombyx mori (domestic silkworm). RNAcentral describes it as "ovarian small RNA-23926". The record is from RNAcentral. Lineage: Eukaryota; Metazoa; Arthropoda; Insecta; Lepidoptera; Bombycidae.